UCUGAGUAAACAAUUUGAUGAUCAUAAACUUGUUGUAAUCAUUUGUCUUGAAUAAUUGCAUGCAGUACAAUCUUGGAGUAAUACUGAAAUUUAACACUGAAACUGAACAGUGAAAGAUGAACACUGAGUAGAACAUGUACUAUCAAUACAGGUUUGGACCGGUACUGUCAAUAGAAAAGAUGAACAAGUACUGUCAAUUUAGAACAGGUUUGGACCGGUACUGUCAAUAGAAAAGAUGAACAAGUACUGUCAAUUUAGAACAGGUUUGGACUUAGUUUCAUCAGUACUCCAAAUCAGUAGGAGUAUGAAUUAACGGGCAGAAAUAAUUGCUACUCUCAUUUAAGGUAAAAUUGAGUAGGAAUAGGAGUAGGAAUAUCAGGAGCAUGAAUAUCAGGAAGGAGUACAUCAUGGCCUUUGAAAAUUUUACCCCAGCCUUACUUUGAACUCGAUCUCAUUUCUGUACUUCAUUAUUCCCAUAAGAGGGUCACUUUCACCUGUAACUUGACAUGAUCAAGUAAACUGUGCACAUGUCUAUUUUUAUUUGAAUCUUCAGAAUGUCCAAAAUUUUAAACACUAUGGUAUGACUGAACAAUCUAAACUGUUUGACAUAAUUUGAUGUAAAUAAAAUACUCCAGCCAUUCUUAGUAUGCAAAUCUGCAGUUAGUGCUUCGAAAAAACACUAUGGGAAAUGACUUGAAUGGAGAAAUGUUGAGAUACCAACCUGCUAGCUGAAAAGUGCAGCAUGCCGGCAUGAGAAUGACUGAUACCCUCACACAUCUUUUUUCAUUAGCCCUUCUUUAAAACAAUCUGAUGGAAAAAAACAUUCAAGGUCACAAAUCAUAUUAUUGUAGGGCUCAUAUUUACUGUAGAAGAGAGAAGAGAAAAGAAGAGAUCAAGAAUAUGGAGGGCACAAGAGGAGUAUACUACAGUAGCUCUCCUCUUGUUGCAAGUCCUACACUAAAGUACUAAAACUACUGCUUGCAAGUCCUAACAUAACAGCAGCAAUCAUCAUCAGUGCUCCAAGUAUCCAAGAUGGAGUAAUUAACAGAAAAUGCAAGAUAACCUAACAGAGCAAGAUGGAGUAAUCCAAGAAAAUUAAUUGAAAAUUGCUGAGUAGUGUUGUGUGCAAGUGCAAGUACUCAAAAUUUGUUUGAGUAGCAAAUCUUGGAGUACGAGAGGACUCCAAGUUAAAUGUACUCAAAGCAAAUUAAGCAAAUGUACUGCCAUUAGUUUUCAUUCCAUUCUGAAAACUACUCCUGUUCACAAAUUAAGCAAAUCUUGGAGUAUUGAAGUACUCCAAGUUAAAUGUACUCCAAGCAAAUUAAGCAAAUGUACUCCAAGAAAAUUAAGCAACUGAACUGGAGAAGAAAUAAAUUCUGAAUAUGUUCCAGUCACAAAAGAACUUGGCAAGUUGUUUUUAUUCCAUUCUGAAUAUGUUCCAGUCACAAAAGAACUUGGCAAGUUGUUUUUAUUCCAUUAUGAAUAUAUGUUCCUGACACAAAAGAGUUGGCAAUUAGGCGCCCAAUUAACUUGGUGAUGCAUGCUAAACUUAAGAACCAUCAUCACUUGGUACACACACCAGUUCAGAUUACACAUGAUAAUUAAUUAGGCGCGGUAACUAAUUAACCCCAGCAGCUACCUUAGUUAGGUGCAGUAAAAACUCCUACUGCUACUGCAUCUUUACCAACCAAAUUCAGUGACAGAGCUACUCCAUUUUACUCAAAUUCAGUAUGCAAAAUUAACAGUAAUCCAUACAGCUGCUUCAUACUCCAAAUUGCUACUCCAAAUUCAGUAUACAAAAUUCAGUAUGCUGCUACUCCAAAUUCAGUUUGCAAAUUAACAGUAACAGUACUUCAAUGGAGUACAGUUGCUACUCCAAAUUAACAGUGGGUCCUUGCUAAGCAUAUUGUUCUCAAAUUAACAGUAGAACUCAAAUUAGCAGCAGCAUUCGUAGGUGACAACACAAAACAGCAGCAACAUUCGUACGAGUAGAAAAUGAACACGUACUG
Molecule: long non-coding RNA, 2009 nt
Organism: Triticum aestivum (bread wheat)
Lineage: Eukaryota; Viridiplantae; Streptophyta; Magnoliopsida; Poales; Poaceae
Exons: 4
Source: RefSeq, a predicted model, not a curated record